GCCAGCAGCCAUGUCACCCUGCAACUUACAAUUGGCAACCCACUGAAGCUAAGCAGACUAAGUGAGCCUGGUCAGUACCUGGAUGGGAGACCUCCUGGGAAAAACUAAGGUUGCUGCUGGAA
This 122-nucleotide ribosomal RNA is filed under the name Lepisosteus oculatus (spotted gar). Lineage: Eukaryota; Metazoa; Chordata; Actinopteri; Semionotiformes; Lepisosteidae. The record is from RNAcentral.